CUUCGUUGUACCCCUCCAUCCUCCAUCUCUGCAUCCCUGCACCCCUCCAUCCUCCAUCCCUGUACCCUUACAUUCUCCAUCCCUGCAUUCCUCCAUCGCAGCAUCCCUGCAUGCCUCCGUUCUCUGCAUCCCUCCACCCCAGUAUCCCUGCACCUCUUCAUCCCUCCAUUCCUGCAUCCCUCUAUUUUUCCAUCCCUCCAUUCCUGUAUCCCUGUGCCCUCCAUCCUCCAUCCCAGCAUCCCUCCAUCCCUGCUCCCCACUCUCACUUCCCUUCCCUUCACAGACAGGCUUUUCCUGCCAUCCUCAGACCCCACCCAGGGUUACCUGAUGCCUUUCCAGCUGCACACGGGGACUGACUCACCUCUCUCUUUCUCAGUCCCAAAGUCCCGAAAGAGAGCAUCUGAUGUGGUCAGCUUGUGACAAGGCGUCCACCUUCUGUCCAUGACAUGGAGGCCAGGGGAAGGUCUCACUGCCCAGCACCCCACCCUGUGCUCCCAGGCCUUUUGAAUGUUCCUCCUGCUCAGCCCAGUGACUGCGGGCUGUGGCUCCUCCUCCAGCCUCCCCUCGAGGUCCUGGUCUUACUUAGGAGGCCCCGGGUGUAGAUGCCUUCCCACCCACCAGGCAUUGCCCCUUUUCCUGGCUUCACAGACUCGGGAAUAAAGUUUCCUUCUGUUUCCCCUCUUGCAGAAGGAGAUCCGGUUGGCAGCUAAACCGCGCUGGGAACAGGGGCCUGAGUCCUGGACUAGGGCUCUUUCCCCGGGGCUGCUGCAGAUGGGGAGGAGCCUACACCCGCCUCCCGAGUGCUAAUCAGACCUGACAGGCUGGAGAAUGGCCAGUCAGCCUGAGGCCACCGCGGGACACCACCUAGGCCCAGCUUCUCCCCCCACCAGAGGGCGCCAGAGCCCGCCAAGCCUCGUAGGAGAUGGCAACAGGGCCUGCUGCUGCCACCUAGCGGCCAAUUCCGGGAAUGAAUCUCGGCACGCUCAUUACCCAGCGACUCUGCCCAUCUUGACCCUUUAUGUGAAGCAGAACAGCCGCUUCCGCAGUGAGCUGUCAGAAGGCGUCGUGCCUGUCUUGCUAGUGGGGAAACUGAGGCUCAGAGAGGCAGAAGACUUGCCCAAGAUCACACCACCGGGACCCAGGAUUCAAGCGCAGGCCUGCCCAGGCUCUCUGUGGCCUCCUGGCUGCGAGGAGGCAGCCAGGGACCAGGUGCCACCCUUCUGAGACACCUGAGAUCCCAGGCCCGAGAGGAUGAAGGCGGGAUUACCUGGAGCGUGUCUGAAUGCUGGAGGAAGAAGGGCAGCUGGGAGAUGAAGCUGUCAGGAUGGGCCGCAUCCCAUUUCCUGCCUCGUUUCAGUUCAACUUUCCAACAGACCUCCCUGGCUCGUCUUGCUCUUCUCUAAUGGACAAACAAACAGGCUCAGAGAGGUGGUGUGACUUGCCCAAGGUCACUCAGCUUGGAUGCUAUGGAACAGGGACGUCCACUGUCCCAGUCUGUUUAUGGGAAGCCGCUCUGCAACUGUCCUGACCCACCACAUGCCCCACCGCUGUUUCUCUUGCCCUGACCCCUUGUUCCCUGGACCAGGGUGGCACAGCUCCAGGCUCUUGGGCCCUUCCCGAGGGCAGGCACCUGUGACUGUGUCCCCAAAGACCUGAGUGGCUGAGGGGGCCCCACAGAGCUUGGACUUCCUGGAGGACAAGGAGGGGUCUGCCAGCCACCCCCACCACGCCCGCCCCAGGGCUCCCCUGGAGCUUCCAUGCCAGCCGGACUCAGGUGGGUCUGGAGGAGCACCGUGCCUCCAAUCAGACCUUGAGAUGUGCCCCCUGCCCCCACUGUGCCCUCCCCUGCCCAGGAGUCUGGUUGCAAACCCUGAUUAAGGGGAUUUUAUCUCCACCAGAGGGCCAGUAGGUGGGAAGUAGCUUAAACAAUGCAGGUUUAUAAUCUCACAGUUCUGGAGGUCAAGAGUCUGAAAUGGGCCUCAUGGGGCUAAAACCAAGGUGUCUGCAGGGCUGUGUUCCUUCUGGAGGCUCCAGGGCAGGAAGGGGAGGAUCCACUUCUGUGCCUUUCCAGCUUCUAGAGGCUGCCUGCGUUCCUUGGCUCGUGGCCCCUUCCUCCACCUUCAAGCCAGCAGCGGAGGCCUGAGUCCUUCUCAUGCCAUCUCUCUGUUCUCUCUCCUGCCUCCUCCUCCACACUGAAGGACCCCUGUGAUCACACUGGCCCCCCCACCGGAUGACCCAGGAUAAUCCAUCUCCCUGUUUGAAGGUCGGCUGAUUAGCAACCUUCAUUCCAUCUGCCUCCUUCAUUCCCCCUGGCCAUGUAAUGGGAUUCACAGCUUCUGGGGAUUAGGACAUGGACAUCUUGUGGCGGGGGCAUAAUUCUGUCGACGACACCAAGAAACACUUGGAUGUUAAGGAUUCACCGAACACUGUUCAGGCUCCAGGUGCUGGGAGCAGCAGUGAACAAAGCCAACAGACACUGCCACCCUCAAGGAGUUCACGUUCAUGGGCGAGGGAACAGAUGAGAAACCCGGCAAUGAAAGUAAGUAGCAU
Molecule: long non-coding RNA, 2550 nt
Filed under: Homo sapiens (human)
Lineage: Eukaryota; Metazoa; Chordata; Mammalia; Primates; Hominidae
Description: non-protein coding SLC25A25-AS1:23
Source: RNAcentral